CGCUAUGAUGACGACAACAUGGGGCUCUUGAGUGUGUGACCACGACUACCAGCAUGAACCUCAACACCUUCUUUGCUGUUCCACUAGUGUGACCCAUGAUCGGAUACAAGUUGUCAAGGAUAAACGGUGAGAAUCAUGUCAGCCCACAGACAACCGAUUGACCUGUGAGUCUUCAAGCAGUAAUGAUGACUACGCCUGCCUUAAGUUCCAGUUUCCUGAACAUCGUGGCAUGUCUGCAGGAGAUUCUGUCCCCACCUGUCUUCAGUCUGGACCUAAUGACUCAGACACCAGUCUUGUCGAGGCUAAAUCGAGAGAGGAUCACCUGAUGUCAACAUACGAGUUUUCAAGAAGAACUUCCUGAAUUUUGUGUCUGUGUGAGACUCUACCAUGCUGGGUGCCCUCUUCAGUCAAGUCUGGACACAGAGACUCAUUGCUCUUCAUCAACUCUGGGCAAGUGGCUAAUCUUUUGCUUAUUCAUGGGAUAUCCUUCAUGUCCACAUCCUGUUUCUUCACGAUCUCAACAAUGCUUUGUGAGUAUACAACACAUGUGAGUGGAUCAGUUCAACCUGUUUUUCACAGAAUGUUAGUUUCUUAAGGUUUUCAUCAACGAUGGUUUGUAUCUUGUUUUCCAAAAGGUGUUAUUAAGAUAUUUCCAUUUGUAAUUUACAAUAAUCAAAUGUUGACUGUAAAAUCUAUGCCAACCUAUUGUUAUACACUGUACCAUGUUUUUGCAAAGGAAUUCUGGUGACUUUAGUUGCCAGCAACUUCCUUUGAACUUUGUAAUAAAAUACCGUAACUGUAAUAAAGUU
Long non-coding RNA from Pseudoliparis swirei, 809 nucleotides. RefSeq lists it as uncharacterized. The record is from RefSeq and is a predicted model, not a curated record. The transcript is spliced from 4 exons. Lineage: Eukaryota; Metazoa; Chordata; Actinopteri; Perciformes; Liparidae.